Molecule: long non-coding RNA, 3189 nt
Filed under: Canis lupus familiaris (dog)
Lineage: Eukaryota; Metazoa; Chordata; Mammalia; Carnivora; Canidae
Description: lncRNA (ENSCAFG00000053519.1)
Source: RNAcentral
AUGGGAGGUAUGAAAGGAAAUUUAUCCUGUAGAUGUAGAAUUUGUUUGAAUUUCAGACAUAACCAGGAGACAAAAAGGAGAAGCCACAAGAUGCUCUCCCACCUUCUCCAGCAAGAGGCAACCACCUACCUACCUUCACCUUUGUUACUACCACCAUCACCUAUAAAAAGUACAGCUUUGGCCUUGAAAUGUUGGCAAGAGGUAACUGGAAGAACUGAGAAUAUGACAAGUCUGGAGAAUCAGGGUGGAGGUGGAGUCCCAGGGGAAGGACAGAGCUGGUGAGAUCCAGCAAACUCCCAGGUAUCUACUAGACCUCAAUUUCCCUAACUGUGGGUGGCACCCAUUAUGGGUCAUUAAAUUAAUUUAGUAAGCGACAAUCCACAUUUUUUUAACGAAAGAGAAUGGAGUAGAGCAGAAAACAGUAGUGCAAGUAGUUAAGACAAGUAGUGUUUAUUGAAAAUUGUUUUUUUUUAACAUAUAGAUGUAUGUGUGAGUAAUAGUUGUAGCAGUCAAAAGUUUUUGAAAGCCUUUUACUAGACCAAGAUGAAGCAUUAGCAUUUCUCUGUGUUGUACCCCUUCUUCAAAAGGAUGUAUUCGGAUGUAGGUGUGUGCGGGUGUGGGUGGAUUGCAGGGGUGUGUGUGUGUGUGUGUGUGUGUGUGUGUGUGUGUGUCAGAGAGAGAAUGUGCACAAGAGCACAAGCGUUCACAUAUACAUAUAACCACCCUGAAAGCAUUUCAGAAAAGGAACAUCUUGAGAGAAACGAAGAAACCCCCACCCAAAAGGAAUGCCCUAAGUCUAAAGAUAUUUAUUUCAAGGGCAAACUUUUAAGUACUUAUCAGUACUGUAUUUGUAUUAUACUCAAUAAAUAGUAGUGUUUAUUGAGACCUUACUGUACUCCACAUUUAAUCCUUAUAACAACCUUAUGAAAUGAAAACAAACACCAACAAUACUAAGAAACCCCUAGAUCAACAAACGUCUCAGAUUUAAAAUCUACAGAGGACAGGUGACCCUCCUUCCCUGUCCUCUCUCCUUCUCUCUGUCCCUGUUUCAUAUCUCAGGAAGAGAACAGAAGAAUGGCAAAAGAGAAGGAGAAAGAAAAGCCACUGAAAUAGAACAGAUGGGAACAAGGAGAGUAGGAGAGAAGAAGGUGAUAAAAGGGAAAAAGAGGAAUAUUAAACACAGUUGACAUACCAUAUGUCUCUAAUAAAUGAUCGUUUUGCAUGUAAAAUCUUGCAAGGAGCUCUGUAAGGGGACUCCAUGGUUGAAGGAGGGGUUGAGAAGGGCAGAGGGGAGUGGCGUGCCAAAACAACCUCUGCUCCCUCAUUUCACUCAGUCUGUCUUGUCUACACACAUGCAUCCGAUCUGGCAUGAAAACCCGCUACAGACGGACUGCUUCUGUGAAAACCAGUGCUGAGGUACUGAUAUCAGCAUCUUGGGCAGGGGGAGCCUGGAGUCCUAAAUUUCCCCCCUCAGGGGAGCCCUCUAUAUCUGAUUUCUGUGACGCAUGCCAGAAGGCUUUGGCUCAAUGUUAACGACUUUCUUCCUUUUGAAUUCCUGUGAGAUGUUAUUCCUUUUGGUUUCCAGGAGUUGUGUGCCAGGGUGAUUUCAGCCCAGUAACAACUUUCACUAUGAUAAAAAGCAACUAUGAGGAAGGCCUGCUGUGUAUCCUCUGCCUAAUGCAGCUACCCAACACAACUGCUAAGGCUGCCUUUCAGAGAGUGCAAAGGCUAGGUUCUGUUCCCAGGGCCCCGGUCAUGUGCCUUUACUGUCUAAUAAACUGAGAACUCCAAACCAUGAGCUAUUCACACAUACUCUCUACCUGGGAAAGACCCCUUUGGCUAGAGCUCAGUGGACAGACACGUCUGGAGAGACAAAAAUAUUGAGACUAGUGACCUAACUCUCACUUCCUAACUAAUACAGGACAGACCACCAGUUACUAAGCAACAUUAUUGUUAAGAUAUUCUUCACCAGCGUUUUUGCCAAUGCUGUCAUUUCAAUACAUUUUAAACUAGGGUUGUGCUUAUUUUGCUGAUCUCCACAACCCUCAACCCCUGCUUAUGUGUGCGUACACACACACACACACACCCUUCCUUCACCGAUGUAACAAGCUGGGGUAGGAAAACAUCUGCUUAAACUGAUAAUGAGUUCAUCAAAAUUUCUACUUUACCAAGAAUAACAGAUUUAAGACAAUAUUACCUAUAGGAGCCUAGAAACUCAAUUUUUAAUCUUCCUGACCCUAAAGAAAGCGCAGAAGUAUCCCCUUUGGCUUUUGAUUCUUCCAACUGGGGCCCAGGUUUUAUCUGUGUCAAUGACACUCUAAAUAUAGGAACUUUUAGUGACUCAGGCCAUUCAGAGGCACCAGAAAACUCCAGGCUGGGACACCAAACCCUCAUUCCUGAUCCAGUCUUUCAAAGCAUCCCAUAGCAUCUCAAAAUAUAAUGAGGGCAAUAGCAGAAAAAAAGUCCUCAAAUCAAAAUUACUUUUAAUCUGCUUUGAUUAAAUGCCUUUUAGCACUUUGUUGAGACAGAUGAAGAUAUUGUUACAAAAUCGAAAAGCAAGUGAUUCUCUAAUCUCAUUUUUGUUGCCAAGUUCCAGCUGACCUACUUUUAAGUUGCCCUGCAAAAUGUAGCCUCCACCCACUUCCUCCUCCUUCCUGUCCACAGCUCCUCUUGACCUCGGUGCCUCUCUUCCCUUCUGGUUCUUUUCUAUCUUUCACAGACUCCUCUUUCUCCUCCAACUGUUGUCUUUGGGAGGGUCUUGAAGUUGGCCUUGACAUCCUCUUCUUCCCUUGACCUGAUGAUGAGACCCCACAUCCUCAUGGCUUCUCCUUAUUCCUUUUGAAGGGAGACACCCAAAUCUCUAGCCAUGACCCCUCACCAACUCUCCAGUCCCCUAAGUCCAGGGUAAACAUUUGUCCCCUUUUGCUGGGACAGUCCCAAUUUAUGUCUUGUUGUUCCAACUUAAUUAUGAAGUUACUUACUUUCAGCCUCAGAAGGGUUUCAGACAAUCUAUGAUUUAGUCAAUAUAUUUUCAGUCACUCUACUUAAUAUGAAGAUUUCCCUAUGAACAUUUACUUGAUCCCAUGUAUCUUCACUCCUCACUAAACACAACUUCGUUCCAAUUUCUGUUGGUGUUCUGCUGCUUUUCCAUUGUUCAAAACUAGAAGCUUUGGACUUCCUGACUUCUCC